GACGAACGCUGGCGGCGUGCUUAACACAUGCAAGUCGAACGAACAGACCCGGCGCUUGUGGCGUGCUCGAGUGGCGAAGAGGGGAGUGAAACACGAGUAUCAUGCACUUGACUGUCGGAUAAAAUCACGGGACUCGGGCUAAUACAGCGUAGGAGAUCCUGAUGCAUGGGGGGGGUUGGAGAGUUUCGGCGGUUGGGGAUGGACUCGAGGGUUAUCAGCUGGUUGGUGGGGUAGGGGAUGACCAAGGCUUUGACGGGUAGCCGGCCUGAGAGGGUGACCGGCGACAAUGGUACUGCGAGAGGCACCAGUAGCCUAUGGGAGGCAGUAGUGGGGAGUAUGACAGAAUGGGCGGAAGCCUGAGGCAGCAACGCCGCGUUCGUGAUGAUGUCCUUCGGGUUGUAAACCGAUGUGGCCGGUGACGAAGCCGGAGUGACGGUAAUGGGUAAAGAAGCAACGGCUAACUACGUG
Molecule: ribosomal RNA, 468 nt
Filed under: uncultured bacterium
Lineage: Bacteria
Description: partial 16S ribosomal RNA
Rfam family: Bacterial small subunit ribosomal RNA
Source: RNAcentral